UUUUUUGGUAUUGGGGCGAAGGACAACUGCGUCCGAUGUGACAGAGCAAGGGUCGGAUCUAUUUCCAGGCAUGUUAAGGCGAUGUGCUGCCGUGCUACGGCUGCGGUCUCUCUCGGCGUCGGUGGUUGGGGGCGCUCCGACGUUCCUUACCGGCUCGACUGCCAGAGGUCUAUGCGAUGGAAGUUUUUUUUUUGCUGUUGAACGACGUGCGUCGUGUUUUGUUGUCUUCACUCGACGAAAGUUACAGCGACGUGCGGACGGUGGGUGCGGCGACAGAGGUAGCGUCGCGCUAAGAGCAAAGCAGCACUGCACUGUGAUUUCCUAGACCGGCGUAUGUUUUGGCGUGGCUGCGUUUCUUCGUACGACGAUGUUGCAACGCUGGUGUCGAGCAGAGGCUCGCCGGAGUAGGUGGCCUGGCUGAAAGGGUGUACAGGGCUGGCGAUGGACGGCGAGCUCAGGCUGCUGCGGCACCACCAAGGGCGGCGCAAAACCUAGGCGGCGGAAGAGCUGCAGAAACCUUAGGGCACGGGUUCUGGGCUUAAUUUUUGGGCCUGGGCGCUGAACAGCUUAUGGGCCGUGAGUGUGGGCCCUGUUUGGCAGAUAUGGGCUGCGCAGCUGAAGCUGUUUAGGGUUGUAGCAUGCGGCCCUUGGCUGUCUCGUGGGCUGCGAGAUUUGCGGUUUUGUGGCCAUUUUCGGGUCCUAAGUUUUUUCCAGCCCAAGCUUUGUUUUGUUUUAUUUUCUUUUCUAUUUUUUUAAUAGAUUAGAAAGGACUUCCACGAAUGGGCCACGAAGAAUUUUUUAUUUUAUUUUUAUUAUUCUUCGCAUGUCGG
RNAcentral lists this long non-coding RNA (830 nucleotides) under Salvia miltiorrhiza (redroot sage). Its description in RNAcentral is "long non-coding RNA (SMIL_LNC012929)". The record is from RNAcentral. Lineage: Eukaryota; Viridiplantae; Streptophyta; Magnoliopsida; Lamiales; Lamiaceae.